RNAcentral lists this ribosomal RNA (465 nucleotides) under uncultured bacterium. Its description in RNAcentral is "partial 16S ribosomal RNA". It matches the Rfam family "Bacterial small subunit ribosomal RNA", at positions 28 to 507 of the family's 1533-position model. The record is from RNAcentral.
GACGAACGCUGGCGGCGUGCUUAACACAUGCAAGUCGAACGGAAAGGCCCUGCUUGCAGGGUACUCGAGUGGCGAACGGGUGAGUAACACGUGGGUGAUCUGCCCUGCACUUCGGGAUAAGCCUGGGAAACUGGGUCUAAUACCGGAUAGGAGCCAUUCUUAGUGUGAUGGUUGGAAAGUUUUUUCGGUGUAGGAUGAGCUCGCGGCCUAUCAGCUUGUUGGUGGGGUAAUGGCCUACCAAGGCGGCGACGGGUAGCCGGCCUGAGAGGGUGGACGGCCAAAAUGGGACUGAGAUACGGCCCAGACUCCUACGGGAGGCAGCAGUGGGGAAUAUUGCAAAAUGGGCGCAAGCCUGAUGCAGCGACGCCGCGGGGGGGAUGACGGCCUUCGGGUUGUAAACUCCUUUCGCUAGGGACGAAGCUUUUUGUGACGGUACCUAGAUAAGAAGCACCGGCUAACUACGUG